CACGUAGGGUGCGAGCGUUGUCCGGAAUUAUUGGGCGUAAAGAGCUCGUAGGCGGUGUGUCGCGUCGGCCGUGAAAACCUGCAGCUUAACUGUGGGCUUGCGGUCGAUACGGGCAUCACUGGAGUUCGGCAGGGGAGACUGGAAUUCCUGGUGUAGCGGUGAAAUGCGCAGAUAUCAGGAGGAACACCGGUGGCGAAGGCGGCAUCCUGGACCGGCAUUGACGCUGAGGCGCGAAAGCCAGGGGAGCAAACGGG
RNAcentral lists this ribosomal RNA (254 nucleotides) under uncultured bacterium. RNAcentral describes it as "partial 16S ribosomal RNA". It matches the Rfam family "Bacterial small subunit ribosomal RNA", at positions 524 to 776 of the family's 1533-position model. The record is from RNAcentral.